Molecule: ribosomal RNA, 319 nt
Filed under: uncultured Treponema sp.
Lineage: Bacteria; Pseudomonadati; Spirochaetota; Spirochaetia; Treponematales; Treponemataceae
Description: bacterial SSU rRNA
Rfam family: Bacterial small subunit ribosomal RNA
Source: RNAcentral
AACGAACGCUGGCGGCGCGUCUUAAGCAUGCAAGUCGAACGGCAAGAAGAGAGCUUGCUCUCUUCCUAGAGUGGCGGACUGGUGAGUAACACGUGGGUGACGUACCCUUUGGACGGGGAUAGCCGAUAGAAAUAUCGGGUAAUACCGGAUAAGGACACACAGGUUGGAGCUGUGUGUGGAAAGUAGCUACGGCUACGCCGAAGGAACGGCCUGCGACCCAUCAGCUAGUAGGUGAGGUAAGAGCCCACCUAGGCAAUGACGGGUAUCCGGCCUGAGAGGGUGAACGGACACAUUGGGACUGAGAUACGGCCCAGACUCC